RNAcentral lists this long non-coding RNA (531 nucleotides) under Canis lupus dingo (dingo). RNAcentral's name for it is "lncRNA (ENSCAFG00020011429.1)". The record is from RNAcentral. Lineage: Eukaryota; Metazoa; Chordata; Mammalia; Carnivora; Canidae.
CUCCGCCGCCCUGGGGGCCGCGCGGAUGGAGGCGCGAGGGCGGGAGCCGGCCGUGGAGCCGCCGCCCCCGUCCUUCUAAGCGCCCGGCGGGACGCGAACCGCGGCCUCCGGGCCCUGGGGCCCCGCGCGCGCUGCGGGGCUGGCGCGGUCCCCGCGGAGGCCGGGAGGGGACGAAGGCCGGCUCCACCUCUGGGGCCUGAAUAUAUGUGCACACUGAAUUCUGCUACCGCUGGAUCCCGCUUUUGGUUCCUGCUCGUUGUCCAGCUAUGUGUGGGAUAGAAUCACAUCUGAGAAGCAGGCUUUACCCACCUGUGGCAACCCGAGUCGUGUACAUCCUGGCACUGCUGGCUAGAACCUGCAGAGCUGUCUUCACCUGAUGACACACACCUGUUCUUGGCACCAUUAGGGUAAGAACCAGCACAAGUGGUUGGAAGGGUGUAAAUGCAAGGUUAGGGAAUGGGGCUCAAGCAAUGUGGAGAAGCGCGUGUUGGCAUACGAGGCUGGGGGGUGGCCAGGGGAACCUUCUGUGUC